CAGUAGCCGCGGUAAUACGGAGGGUGCGAGCGUUAAUCGGAUUUACUGGGCGUAAAGCGUGCGUAGGCGGCUUUUUAAGUCGGAUGUGAAAUCCCUGAGCUUAACUUAGGAAUUGCAUUCGAUACUGGGAAGCUAGAGUAUGGGAGAGGAUGGUAGAAUUCCAGGUGUAGCGGUGAAAUGCGUAGAGAUCUGGAGGAAUACCGAUGGCGAAGGCAGCCAUCUGGCCUAAUACUGACGCUGAGGUACGAAAGCAUGGGGAGCAAACAGGAUUAGAUACCCCAGUAGUCCCUGUCUCUUAUAC
This 301-nucleotide ribosomal RNA is filed under the name uncultured bacterium. RNAcentral describes it as "partial 16S ribosomal RNA". It matches the Rfam family "Bacterial small subunit ribosomal RNA", at positions 509 to 807 of the family's 1533-position model. The record is from RNAcentral.